RNAcentral lists this ribosomal RNA (491 nucleotides) under uncultured bacterium. RNAcentral describes it as "partial 16S ribosomal RNA". It matches the Rfam family "Bacterial small subunit ribosomal RNA", at positions 29 to 506 of the family's 1533-position model. The record is from RNAcentral.
AGUGAACGCUGGCGGUAGGCCUAACACAUGCAAGUCGAACGGCAGCACAGUAAGAGCUUGCUCUUACGGGUGGCGAGUGGCGGACGGGUGAGGAAUACAUCGGAAUCUACUUUUUCGUGGGGGAUAACGUAGGGAAACUUACGCUAAUACCGCAUACGACCUACGGGUGAAAGCAGGGGAUCUUCGGACCUUGCGCGAUUGAAUGAGCCGAUGUCGGAUUAGCUAGUUGGCGGGGUAAAGGCCCACCAAGGCGACGAUCCGUAGCUGGUCUGAGAGGAUGAUCAGCCACACUGGAACGGGGACACGGUCCAGACCCCUACGGGAGGCAGCAGUGGGGAAUAUUGGACAAUGGGCGCAAGCCUGAUCCAGCCAUACCGCGGGGGUGAAGAAGGCCUUCGGGUUGUAAAGCCCUUUUGUUGGGAAAAAAAAGCAGCAGGUUAAUACCCCGCUGUUCUGACGGUACCCAAAGAAUAAGCACCGGCUAACUUCGU